UUUCAGUCACACCAUAUGCGCUGUCGAGUCCACCAUGUACGACAGACACCUGUGAAAUGACUCCAGUAGUUGGAGUGGUUCCUGAGGCGGUUCCAAUAGACCCCAUCGGCGCUGCAAUACAAAAUGCAGUUUCCACUAUGUGCAGUUUUAUGGGAUGUUAAAGCAAUGUACGCUUGAGAACCGAGCUCCGAAAAUUAUUUUUCAAAAGAAAUAAUAAACUGACUAUAAUAAAAAU
Molecule: long non-coding RNA, 235 nt
Organism: Pararge aegeria (speckled wood butterfly)
Lineage: Eukaryota; Metazoa; Arthropoda; Insecta; Lepidoptera; Nymphalidae
Exons: 5
Source: RefSeq, a predicted model, not a curated record